RNAcentral lists this long non-coding RNA (964 nucleotides) under Betta splendens (Siamese fighting fish). RNAcentral's name for it is "lncRNA (ENSBSLG00000000382.1)". Lineage: Eukaryota; Metazoa; Chordata; Actinopteri; Anabantiformes; Osphronemidae. The record is from RNAcentral.
CCAUAUUCUUUGUACUCGUUUACACUGUGUCACUGCUUUCUUUGCUGCUACCACUUCCUCUCUCCGCGCUACUACUUUUACUGGUGUGACAGAGGCAGGUGGCCAACUUCCUGCCCUUUGACCUUCAACAGUUUGCCCGCAGUAAGGAGACAGAGCACACACACACACACACACACAGACACACACACAGACACACAGACACACACACACACACACACACACACACACACACACACACACACACACACACACACACACACACACACACACACACACACACACACACACACACAGGCAGAGGAGGAGCCUAGGUUGCCCUGGGUGAACUGGGGCAGAGGUCUCGCAAAAGGCCCUGGAGGGAAGUGAAGGUCCUUCGACUCAGGGACAAAAGUUAUUUUAGCCCGCACCGCCGAAGCCGACGGGCUGAACGAUCACGGCGGCGGUGCCAAGGGCUCGGCUAACGCGCAUAUCUGGGAAAACAAGAGAUGUCAGACGAAGAACUGAAAGGAAUGAGAGAGCAGAUCAGUGACACAGCGAUUGAAAAAUGCCACAAAGCACCGGGACAGAAACACUGUCUGCCACCUGCCUCUAAAUCACUUUUUUUCAUUCCAGAAGCUGGGGAGCAGGGAACUGUAUGCAGAGGAGGCUGCCCUCGCUCUGCGAGUCCUUUGUCUCCUAAUAUCUCCAGGCUCCGCCCCUCUCUCAGCCAGCCCUCCAAUGGGAGAGCCUUCAGGUGUUGACCUUAUCAGGUGGAGGUCAAAGCCAGGUCAGGGAUCUGUUGCUAGGCUACCAUCAGAUAAGUGGCUGGGGUAGGCAGCGGUGGGUAGCGCUGUCAUUCAGGGUUUGUCAUGUAAUCUUGUUCAUUUGCAGACAAUUGUUUGGACGUCAGAAAGGCUAUCUGGCCCAUACUGUUGUAAUGAAACACAUUAAAAUAUUAAAACCAGCCAUGCUGAGCAUUGGCAGC